RNAcentral lists this ribosomal RNA (481 nucleotides) under Alternaria alternata. RNAcentral describes it as "eukaryotic LSU rRNA". The stretch from base 158 to 311 matches the Rfam family "5.8S ribosomal RNA". The record is from RNAcentral. Lineage: Eukaryota; Fungi; Ascomycota; Dothideomycetes; Pleosporales; Pleosporaceae.
GAAGGACGGGCUGGAACCUCUCGGGGUUACAGCCUUGCUGAAUUAUUCACCCUUGUCUUUUGCGUACUUCUUGUUUCCUUGGUGGGUUCGCCCACCACUAGGACAAACAUAAACCUUUUGUAAUUGCAAUCAGCGUCAGUAACAAAUUAAUAAUUACAACUUUCAACAACGGAUCUCUUGGUUCUGGCAUCGAUGAAGAACGCAGCGAAAUGCGAUAAGUAGUGUGAAUUGCAGAAUUCAGUGAAUCAUCGAAUCUUUGAACGCACAUUGCGCCCUUUGGUAUUCCAAAGGGCAUGCCUGUUCGAGCGUCAUUUGUACCCUCAAGCUUUGCUUGGUGUUGGGCGUCUUGUCUCUAGCUUUGCUGGAGACUCGCCUUAAAGUAAUUGGCAGCCGGCCUACUGGUUUCGGAGCGCAGCACAAGUCGCACUCUCUAUCAAGAAAGGUCUAGCAUCCAUUAAGCCUUUUUUUCAACCUUUGCACU